GAGAUCGGGAUAACACCUGGAAACAGAUGCUAAUACCGGAUAACAACAGAUGAUGCCUAUCAACUGUUUAAAAGAUGGUUCUGCUAUCACUCUUGGAUGGACCUGCGGUGCAUUAGCUAGUUGGUAGGGUAACGGCCUACCAAGGCGAUGAUGCAUAGCCGAGUUGAGAGACUGAUCGGCCACAUUGGGACUGAGACACGGCCCAAACUCCUACGGGAGGCAGCAG
RNAcentral lists this ribosomal RNA (226 nucleotides) under uncultured Lactobacillus sp. RNAcentral's name for it is "partial 16S ribosomal RNA". It matches the Rfam family "Bacterial small subunit ribosomal RNA", at positions 134 to 354 of the family's 1533-position model. The record is from RNAcentral. Lineage: Bacteria; Bacillati; Bacillota; Bacilli; Lactobacillales; Lactobacillaceae.